Long non-coding RNA from Solanum dulcamara, 10942 nucleotides. RefSeq lists it as uncharacterized. The record is from RefSeq and is a predicted model, not a curated record. The transcript is spliced from 2 exons. NCBI's taxonomy places the organism in Eukaryota, Viridiplantae, Streptophyta, Magnoliopsida, Solanales, Solanaceae.
ACUAAUAUAUACAUAAAAUAGAAAAAUCGAGGACCCUCUCUGUCUUCAGACAGCAGGGUCUAGAACUUUCUUUCCAAAUCCUUUGUCCUAGCUCCGUCCCAGCACAUCGAUGGCGAAAACUUCACCAAAGGCUCCUCUGUAGCUGAUGAGAGUUGAGUGCACCAGUGAAUCACAUUUGGGAAGGGGAAGACUAUUGUUGAUCUUGGAUAGAUUACACCAAGACGCUAUAGAUCUCACUAACGCCCUGUAUUCUUGUCCAGCGAAAACUUCUUCAACCCAACAAAUCUUGGCCCUGUUCCUAUAUGAAAUGGUUAGUAUGAAUUACCAUUGCUUUUGCUAAAUCUUCAGGCUCUUGAUAUGGCUGCACCUUGUUGGAUUUCCCAACCCCUAAGUUCUCUCCUUCUUGAUUCUUUCCUGCACUUGCUCUUUUACUGCUUUCCUCAUUAGAUGAUGCAUCAUUAUUACCUUAAUCCCCUGCAGUGGCAUUUGAUUUGUAAAAAGAUAUGAUAAUCCAUUUUUUAGUGUUCAUCUUCCCCCCUUCCUUUUAUUACUCUCACCUUUAUCAUGUUCUUCAUGAAGAGCAUUAAAAGAGUUGAUAGUCGCAAUCUACGGCUUUUCUAGUUCCAUGCCUACAGUAGUAACCACCUUGUCAAUGUUUCUGAUGAAUCUUCUGCUAGUAGAGUUCUAUUGUUUUAUAGGGAGCCUUGAUGCCUUGUUCUGUUCUUUCUCAUUUAGAUCCAUAGCUGCAUUUUGUUCUUGCUUUCUCAAUUCUGGGUGAAGGAUUUUGCACUCCUCCUCAUUAUUUCCUUGUAACUUACAUUUUUUGCAAUACCUAGGGAGCAUAUAAUAUAUCACUUUCACUCUUUCAACCCUUGAUAAAGUUUUCCCUUUGUUCUCAAUUUCCAAUUCCACAAAUUUAGGUAGAUCACCUAGCAAAUCCACUUGGACUUUCACCCUAGCACAACUAGGUCUAGUCUUGUUGAUAGUAGCUGUGUCUAAAUGGAUUGGUUUACCCAAUGUAGAGGCCAAUGAAAAAAUAGCUUCCUUCCUAAAGAAAGUAGGCCAUAGGCUAGGGAAGGAAAUCCAUGCCAUAGCUUGAGUUGUUUCUUCAUCAACUUUGAACUUCUCAUCGUAAAUUAGAGGUCUCAUUGGAUAGUAUAGAUCUGCAUUAUUAUUAAUAUAAUAGGAAGGCUUGGACAUUAUAUUCACAAAGUUUUCAAAUAGUUCAAAUCUCAUCCAAACAUGCCUAUGUCUCAGUAGACCUAUUUGGCAUGCACCUUUUACAUUACAUUCUUUAGGAAUAAUCCUUCUAUGUUCUUCUAAUUCUGGCCUCCCAUAUGAGAACUUUUCUAUCACAGCAUACUAAAGAUUCUCCAUUAUAUUCAUAUGUUUUACUUCUUCCUCCGUCCAAGUAACCCAAGGAAUACCAUUGUUAAACAUAGGAUUUUUAAACGAAACUAAUGAAGGUCAUUUCUUUGUUUCUCCUCCGUUCAGACGAUUGCAUAUUUUCCAUCUUGAAAUAUGAUAGCAACAUCGAUAGGCAUGUUAGGAUCGUUAGGCAAAAUAUUAGGGUUAUCACCACCACUAUUGAGUAAACUUGUUUGACGAGUAAAAGGCAGCCCGGUGCACUAAAUCUUUCGCUAUGCGCAGAGUUCAGGAAAGAGCCCGACCACAAGGGUUUAUUGUAUGCAACUUUACCUUGCAUUUUUGUUAGAGGUUGUUUUCAAGGCUUGAACCCAUGACCUCCUGGUCACAUAGUUAGGAAAAUGAUUAUUAGAAGUUAGAUGGACAGCCUGACCAGUCGCCUGGGAUGACUGGCCUGUGAUCGGAGUAGCCAUGUCGAAUUAUUGGAUGAUUAGGGUUAGGGUUUGGAUUAGGGUUUACAUGACAGAGGAGAGAAUUUGAAUUAGUCUAGCUUGGUAAGCAAUGAAACUUCCAUUUAAUGACCAGCUCGUUAGGAAACUAAAAUUUUAUGACUUUGGUUCUACAGUCGACUGUAACGUUACAUGUGUAACUAGUCCAUGCCAAGAAUGAUAUCAAAAUCAUGCAUGUUCAACUCUACUAGAUCAACUAGGGUGGUUUUUUGAAAAUUAGGAUCACUCAAAUUGUGUCUACCCGUUUAGCUAAAACUGAUUCACCAACAGGAGUAGACACUAGAAAAAAUUCUAAAUAGAUUUUAGGACUGACAUCAAAAUUCAUAGCAACAUAAGGAGUCACAAAGGAACGAUUUGAUCCAGGAUCUAGUAGCAUAAACAUCACGAUGAAAGACUCGUAACAUAUAAAUAACUACAUCAUGGGGAUCCUCUGAUCCUAUCGAAGUUUAAAAGCAUAAAACCUGCCUGGGCGUUGUUUGCCACCAACACUAGAUAAAGUACCCUAUUAAGACGAGCGACCUACUAAAGCACUAGGUUAAGUCUACUAGAAAACAUCCCUACCCUUACCUUAGGCCAAUGGUCAAUCCCUCAAUCUAUGACCAGCUUACAACAUCUAAAACAACCACCUGAAUAGGCCAUGCACUCUCCUGAGUGACUCUUACCAUACUUGUAACAAGUAGGAAUAGAGCAUCCAUUAGAGACACUACCAUGAUACAUAGAUCAUGUUUCUAUAUCCUUGUUAAACUUAGACAUCUGGGAACUAGCAAAAGAUGGGGCCGGGCUAGAAGACUUCUGUCAGAAGUUAACCCGACUACCACCUCUUGAUUUCUAAUAAAAUAGUCCACAUUAUCUGUCCAAGCCAUGUUGUUAUCCCUAGCCCUCUCUUUGAGAUUUUUCUUCUCAAUCUAUUAAGCAUGAGUCAUCAAAGGGGAGACAUCCAUCUCCUUGAUCAGUAUCACAAUUCUCCAUUCAUUCACUGUCGUCUCAGAAACAACAGAGACAAACUUACUUAUGCGGGCCUUAGAGUCGGCCACUAUAGUUAGAGCACACUUCGAAAGUUGGGUAAGCUUCAAAGAAUACUCCUUCAAAGUCAUGUUACCUUACUUCAAUUUAAUGAACUCUUGGACCUUCUCUUCCCACAAGUUGAGUAGAAAGAACAUGUCAAGAAAAACACCCUCAAACUUAUAUCAAUCAACUGAACCUGCAUCAUCGGUCUUUUUAUCCUUCCAUUACUUGUAUCAAAUUUAAACCACUCCCUUCAACUGAUAAGUGGCUAAAUCAGCACUCUCAACUGGCAUGACACCCAUGUUCUCGAUAAUCUUCUAGAUACCUUCUAUGAAUUCUUGUGGAUCUUUUUCUACAUUUGAACCAUAGAACUUCGGAGGGUUCAUUCGAGUGAAAUCUCGGACUCUAAUACCAGUUAUAUUAGCAUUAGGGUUGAUCAUGGCGCUAACUUCUCAGUUGAACUGAGCAGGCAUAGGUUGGCUAACAUAUAAAAAACAUCCCUAAACUCAGUAUGAGAUACUUGUUCAGCCAAAGGGUCCGUAGGGGAUUAAGGUGUGUAUGUAUCUUCAUUCUAAUUCCUUCUAAUGUAAUUUUUUCUUGGAGGCAUGAUGCAGUAAACGUAUAGAGAAAGAGUUAGAAAGAAACUAUACAAAGUUACAAUCUAUCACAUGACUGAUAAUAUAAAAGAAGUAAAGUAUUUUCUAAAACAUUUCAUAGCCACCUAUUUGCAAAUGUGGUUCAUUUCAAGCCUAUGAAUAAGAUGCGAUUUCAGACACCCUAAGACACUUGAACCUAUGCUCUAAUACCAAGUUUCUCACAACUCGAGACUACCCCUCGACGCGACACUGUUCUUAGAGCCACAACUGACCCCAAGCUAACCUCAUGGCAUGAUAUGACACUAAGAUUCAUAAAUAAUAGACAAGAGAUACUAAAAUAUGAAAAGUAUCAUGAUGUCUAAAAGAGAGUCUAACAUCAAAAUAGACCAUAUCUAAAACAAUAUUGGUGAAAUUUGACUUAUUGUCUGAAAGUCUCUAUUACAUUAAUGAGUUGCUAGGACAAACCCCUAGCUAACUCUAAAAUCUAUAAACUGAAAGAAAUAACACUGAAAGAAACAUAAGACGUCCUCAAACAAUGAAGACUCACCAAACUAGCUAACUCGCUGACCGGAUGUGUAGUAACCGCGAGCAUAAUGUAGAGCGUCAAAAUCAAUAUUAUAAAAUAAUUUAGGCAGAAAAUAUGCGAUCAGUACUUUAAAAAUACCGCUGAGGAAUAUGCAUAAAGAAGAUGAUAUUUGAACAUACUAAAUCUGUAAAAUAUGCUAAUAUAAUGAUCAAGUAAAUAUCAUGAAAACUGAUAAUUGAAUUGAAAUAACUUAAUAAACUGAAAUACUUGACCAUGCAAUAACUAAUAACUGACCGUGAGAGGUAUCAUUAACUGACAUAUAACCAUAUGAGAUACAAUAUGAAAUAUGAUAUAUUUCCCCACCAAAAGGGCCAAAUAUUCUUGCCAAGGUGUAAAGACAUGAGUCUGAGCUAAUGUGGAUACACUAAGCUAAUGUCCAAUUGGAACAAAACCUACCAUUGCAUGUAGUUCUAAGAAUAGGGAUUGCUAAUAAAGGAUUACAGACAUUGAACAAAAUCCUUCAUUCCUAAGUCCACUCGGUGCCAAAAAUAUGCAUAAAUCGAUAAAGUAAUAAUCCAGUAGUAUUGUAAUUCUGAUAAAUUGAUAAUAUAAAAAGUAGCCCCUAAAUCAUUGUUUAAAAUUAAUAAUAAAUGAACACUUUAUCUGAAAGUAUCAUAAAUUAUGAUAACUAAUAAAUAUUGAAAGAUAUUUUUAUCUAAAAGCAUCUAAAAUCAUAGAAUUCUGAUCAUCUGAGACAUACACUUGAAAUUAUAUAAUUCUAGAUCAUGAAAAUGCUUAUAUGCUAUGGGUUCAGGAAAUUCCUUUUGAAAACAUAGAAUUACAAUUAAAAUCGUGGAAUUAUACUUGAAAUCAUGUAAUUUGAGAUCAUACUUGAAGAAUAACUUAAAUUCAAUAAGAACCUAUGAAGAUCAUAAAAAUUCUAGGUUUGGAGUAUCAUAGAACUUGAGAAUGGAGGAUUUCUUUUGGACUCACUGGGUGGAAGUAAACCCAUUGAUGAAAUCCCACAUACGUAGAGUAGAAACCUUGGAUCAAUUCCUUCAAUGGAGGCUUGAAUUUUGAAAUCCUAGUUCUUACCUAGGGAGGAAUCUUGAGAGAGAGGAAAUCUUAAGUGGGUGAGUUAUGAGAAACUGAGGGACUUAGGUUUAUAAGAAUCCCUUAAUCCAACUUAGAAUAGCGUAAGUAGGGUUAAAAAGAAUGUGAAAAGGACUGAAAAACCCUUGAUUAAAAAGCUAUCAGAGGCAUCUACGGACCAUAGCUCCUUAUAUAGACCAUAAAAGUCUUUCCUUAGAGAUCAAAAAAGAUUUUAAGGUUUUUAAAGUUUCAAUCCAUGAGACCCUUUUUAUGGUCCAGAGUUCCAACUACAAGAUGUCAUGCAUGCUUGUAGAAUAAUUAUACUGAAACAUCAAAGCUUAGAAGAUUGACCUAUAAAACCCAUCUGUAGAUUAAUUUACAAUCCGUAAAAGAAGGUUUGGUAAUGAUCAGGGAGGAUUUCUCUGUUUCAAGACUUUUAGUUUACAAGGUCCAUCCACAACUUGUAAACACUUCCAUCACUCGUAAUUUCAUUUCAUCCUAUUCAAGGUUAAUUUUUCCAACUUUUUGAAUCUCAAUCCAUGAACCCUUUCUACAACACAUAAAAGUUCUAUGAGCCAUAAACCUGGCUCUUGAAUCUCAGAUUUGGUUUCUUGAAUUCUAAAGUUCCAUCUAAGGAUCUUAUCUAUGAAUUUUGGUUCCAUUUACAUGUCGUAAAUGGUUCUUAUAAAUGCCAAAAAUUUACAGGCUUCAAAUUUCUAAAUUGGUCAACCCUGAUAUGUACUUAGGGAAUUCUUAGGUGUUACAUUUUUGGACUAACAAAUGCCCUUGCAACUUUUAUGGACCUGAUAAACAAGGUGUUCAAAUAGUACUAGCACAUGUUUUUCAUUGUCUUCAUAGAUGAUAUCCUUAUCUAUUCUCAAAACAAGGAUGAGCAUGCAGGCCAUUUGAGGAUUAUCUUGCAGAUUCUUAAGGACAACCAAUUGUUUGCUAUCUUUGGAAAGUGUGAGUUUUUUCAGGUCAGUAGCAUUCCUUGGUCAUAUAAUCUCUGGAGAAGGCAUUCAGGCUAAUCCGCAAAAGUCCAAAGCAGUUAAGAAAUGGCCUAGACCUCUUUCUCCUUCAGACAUUAGGAGUUUCUUGGGUUUAGCUGGUUACUAAAGAUAAUUUUUUGAAGGAUUUUCCUCUAUUUCUUCUUAAUUUCAGUGAUAUGAAGCUUGUGAGAAGAAUUUUCAGGAGUUGAAGACUCGACUUACUUUAGCUCCAGUUUUGACUUUAUUAGAGGGUUUAGAUGUGUUUGUGGUUUAUUUUGAUGCUUCCAGAAUUGACCUUAGUUGUGUGUUGAUGCAACAUGGUAAUAUCAUAGCUUAUUAUUCUAGGCAGCUCAAGAUUCAUGAGAAAAAUUACCCGACUCACGAUCUUGAGUGAGCAGCAGGAGUGUUUUUCUUGAAAAUUUGAAGGCACUACCUUUAUGGUCUUCAUGUAGGUGUGUUUAUAGACCAUAAGAGUAUCCAGUAUGUGUUCAAUCAUAAGAACUUAAAUAUUUUUUAGGUAGACGACUUGAGUUGUUGAAAAACUAUGACAUGAGUAUCAUAUACCAUCCAGGUAAAGCUGAUGUAGCAACAUAUGCUCUCAAUAGGUUUUAUAUGUACUUGCUCACAUUUGUGAAGAAAAUGAGUUAGUUCAUGAUGCUCAUAGGUUGCUCGUUUGGGAGUUCACCUUGUGGAUUUAGCAGAUGGUGGAUUUAUCAUUCAAAAUGAUUCAGAAUCAUCUCUUGUGAUGGAGGUUAAUGAAAAGCAAGAUGGUGAUCCAACCUUGGUAGAGUUGAAAGAAGUAGUCCUUAAAAAGAUAGUGGAAGCUUUCUCCAAAAGGGGAGAUGGUGUGCUUCAGUACUGGAACUGGUAUUGUGUCACAUAUGUUGAUGCUUUGAGGAAGAAGAUACUAUCAGAAUCUCACAGUUCUACUUAAUCUAUUCACCCAGGAUCCACCAAGAUGUACCAUGAUCUAUGGGAAGUGUAUUGAUGGAAUGAUAUAAAUUAGGAUAUUGUAGAAUGUGUGGCUAAGUGUCUAAAUUACCAACAAGUUAUGGUUGAACAUUAGAAUCCAAGAGGUAUGACUCAGGAUAUCAAUAUUCCUACUUAAAAGUGGGGUGAUUUAAAGAUAGGCUUCAUCGUAGGUUUGCUUCGAUUCAGUCGACAACAUGAUUCUAUAUGGAUGGUUGUAGACCGAAUGACUAAAUCAGCAUAUUUUCUAUCUAUUAAGACUUAUAAUUCACCCGAAGAUUAUGCUAGACUUUACACCCGCAAGCUAGUAAAAUUGCAUGAGGUUUCCUUAACCAUCAUCUCAAACAGGGGUACUCAAUUUACAUCUCAGUCUUAGAGAUUUCAGAAAGGUCUUGGUACUCAGGUUACGCUUAGCACAACUUUUCACCCAUAGAUAGAUGGUCAGUCCAAAUGGACUAUUCAGACUUUGGAAGAUAUGUUGAGAGCUUGUAUAAUCGAGUUUACAGAUAAUUGGGAUGAUAACUUUUCUCUAAUUGAAUCCGCUUAUAAUAACAAUUAUCAUUCCAGUAUUCAUAUAGAUCCAUUCAAAGCACUUUAUGGUAGGAGGUGUAGAUCUCCUAUAGGAUGGUUUGAGGUUGGUAAAGUGGAUUUGAUAGUGCUGAAUUAGUUCAUGAGGCUAUGGAGAAAGUUCAACUUAUCAGACAUAGGUUGAGGAUAGCUUAGAGUAGGCAAAAAUCACAUGCAGAUGUGAGGAGAAUAGAGCUUGAAUUUGCGAUUGGUGAUUUGACAUAUUUGAAAAUUUCACCUAUGAAAAGGGUGAUGAGGUUUGGUAAGAAAUAAAAGCUCAUUUCCUGUUAUGUUGGUCCUUAUAGAAUUCUAAGGUGCUUUGGUAAGGUGGUCUAUGAGCUAGCUUUACCUACAGAGCUGGCAUCAGUGCAUCUAGUGUUUCAUGUGUCUUUGUUGAAGAAAUGCAUUGGUGAUACCACUUCAAUUUUGCCUUUAUAAAGUAUUAGUGUGAAGGGUAGUCUUUCUUAUGAAGAGGUCCCAAUCAUGAUCCUUGACCGUCAGGUUCGCAAGUUAAGGAAUAGGGAAGUCGCUUCAGUGAAAGUUCUUUGGAGGAAUCAGUUAGUUGAGGGAGCUACUGGGGAAGCAGAAGCAGAUAUGAUGGCCAAGUACCCCCACCUCUUCCUUUCUAGUUCAAUCCCAACAUAAGGUAAUAGUUCUUCCAUGUAUCCUAUUCAUAUUUAUUGAUUCUGAUUAUUCACUUGUUCCAGUAUGCAUGCAUAUUUAUGAAAAUUAGUCCACUCUUCAUGUCUCAGUUUGAAGUCAGUUACUCCACAAGUUUUCAAUGUUUAGAUUUUAGUUUCAAGUUUGCAGAUCCUUCUCUACUCUUUUCAAUAGAUCCAUAGACCGUAGAUGGCCUAGUGGAACCUGUCGAUAAUGGUUUUUCUUCAUGAUUAUUUUGGUUUUCAUACACUCAUUUAAUCCCUAUACUAUGUCAUUUUUUCCUAUCCUAAGUGAGAUUAGGGAAGAGUUAGUCGACUUAACCUCCCUAUUCAUACCCAAUACUCAAACAAACAUAAUUCUCACAUUCUAAAUUUUCUCAAGGAAGAAACUGGGUUUUCACCUUCAUGUCUCAGUUCAUGGUUCUAAGCUAGGGCUUCCAUUCUAGGUUUGUGGAAUUUCAUCAAUAGAAAUUCUUUCACCCAUUGAGUCCCAAUGUAAACCCAGUUUUUCAGUGAAUAAUUUCUACAAAGUUAUGGUUCAUAUGUAAAACAUAAUUUUGCAUUAAGUUUUCCCAUUCUUUUUCAUGGAUAGUUCAAUUCUGUGUUUUCAUCUAUAAAAUCAGUACUCUUAAAUAAUAUCUUCAUGAGCCCUUAGUAUAUAAAUAUUUUUAUGGCUCAAAACUAUGUUGUUUUAGAGUGCAUGUCUUAGAUUAUCAUCUUUCAUGAUAAGGAUGCUUCCAGAUAAGUAUCUACUAGUUAUUAUCGGUUUAUCUUUAUUCAUGAGCUACUCAUAUUAUCAAUUUAUUUGUAUUAUUAGUUAAUUAGUAUGUUAUCAUUGGGAGUAUUACUUAGCACCAAUCGGCUCUAGGGAUGAAGGCUCACUCGUCAUUUAGGAUUGAGACCUUUAGUAGCAAUACCUAAGUCCCAAACUAUAUGUCACCUUAGGAUUAGAAGGAUCACCCAUCAGACCAGGAUUGACUACUUAGUCCUUUAUGGACAUUUGCUUAGUGUUACCACAUUAGCUUAUAUCAAUCUUUAUACCCUGGCAAGGCAUAUUGAGCCAUUUUCGAUGGGAAUUAUACAUCAAACUUUAUGUUAGCUCACAUGGUUAUAUGAUAGUUAUUAGUACCUUACAAAGUUCAGUCUCAGUUAAUGCAUGGCCUUGUAGUCAAUUAUUUCAACUUUAGUAUUUAUCAGUUACAUCUUUACUACUUUGUCAUUGCAUUAGUUCAUGACUAUUUAGCUUAGUAUCUCAAAUUUAUCAUGUUUAGUCUAGUAGUUUUAUCAUGUAUAUCUCACAUACUCAGUAUUCAAAGUACUAGCAUCGCGCUAUAUUAUUUUAUAAUAUAGGUUCAGACGCUCAAUAUUCACCUCGUGGUUAGUACGAUCUAUAUUCAUCAUAGGAGCAGCAUUAGUGAGUCCUCAUCUUUCGAGGACGAUCUUUAUCUUUAUUUUGCUCUUUGUUUUCUUCAGUUUUCAGAAAGGUAGAGUUAAUUUGGGGUUUGUCCCAGUAACUCAUCUUAGUAGCGGUUUUUAGACAGUUAGAUAUUAGCUUCAGCUUAUGAUUUAUUCAGUUGUUCUAUGUAGUUUUUGGAUUUAAUACAUUUUCCAGUUUAGCUUCGGCAUUCAGUUAUUUCAAGUAUUGUCUAUAUUAAUAUUAGUGUUAUGUCAGUCUAUGAGUUAGUUUGGGAUCACUUGUGACUCUAAGCACCAUGUUAUGAUUAGGGGGUAGCCUCAAGUCGUGAAAGAUAGCCUAUCAGAUUCAUUAGCAAAUCACGCUUUUGAACAACAAAAAUAGAAGCUUUCAUGGCUCCUUCCGGAAAGAAAUCGUAAUGUGAGCGAAUUUGAAGACUUAAAGACAUGCAUUUCAUUUCUUUCAAGAGAGAAUCAAAGAACAUUGACACGUUCAUAAGCACUACAUUCAUUCAUAGUCAACAUACACACAUGACAGAACAUAGUUAAGCAACAAAUCAAAAAUUGUAAAGGAUACACAACACAAAUAUUGACAUAAAAGUAAGCAUGAAAGAAGGCAUUGUUGUGUAUAAAUUAGCUAGGCUAUUACAAAUUAUCUAUCAAAAUACUUCACCAAAAAUGAAGGACAAUAGGGUUUUGCUGAAUUUGGAGGUUGGAGGUACAAACCUAGUGUGAAAGCCAUGCGACCACAACAUCCAAAUCUACACUCAAAAUUCUUAGAGAAUUUUUCAGACCCGAACACUUGAAAAGAUAGAUCAGAAGUUACAUAGCAAACACUGGAAGGUGUUUAACAAAAACAAAUGAGCUCACCUUUAUGAAGAAGAAAAAUUGUGACCACCAAGCAAGGGAAGAGCAGAAGAACGAAGUAUAUUCAAAGGAGAAGCAUCUUCAAUUGGUGAUUCUGGCACAACAAGGAGGAAACAUUCUCAUACGGCGAUGAAGACAAAUGGAGAGAGCACCAGAUACUCUUUUAGGAAAGUCCGAUCAAUCUUCUUUUAGUAUAGGAAUAGUUUGUAUUUAGGAUCAGCUCAUUUGUUGGACCUGUACUUUAAUUUUUUAUUUUUGGAUUUUUCGGCCUUUGGCCUUUAUUUGUAGUAAGGGAUCGAUUAGUACAAAGAUUACUAAAACAAGGAUUAAUAAGACAGAGAUAAGUAACACAUGGAUUAGUAAUGGAGGGAUUAUUUUUUAUUAA